This 1040-nucleotide ribosomal RNA is filed under the name uncultured Ascomycota. RNAcentral's name for it is "eukaryotic LSU rRNA". It matches the Rfam family "Eukaryotic large subunit ribosomal RNA", at positions 1 to 1075 of the family's 3401-position model. Lineage: Eukaryota; Fungi; Ascomycota. The record is from RNAcentral.
AGUUUGACCUCGAAUCAGGUAGGGAUACCCGCUGAACUUAAACAUAUCAAUAAGCGGAGGAAAAGAAACCAACAGGGAUUGCCCUAGUAACGGCGAGUGAAGCGGCAAAAGCUCAAAUUUGAAAUCUGGCCUUCUAUGGAGGUCCGAGUUGUAAUUUGCAGAGGGCGCUUUGGCGUCGGCAGCGGUCUAAGUUCCUUGGAACAGGACGUCACAGAGGGUGAGAAUCCCGUACGUGGUCGCCUGCCUUCGCCGUGUAAAGCCCCUUCGACGAGUCGAGUUGUUUGGGAAUGCAGCUCUAAAUGGGAGGUAAAUUUCUCCUAAAGCUAAAUACUGGCCAGAGACCGAUAGCGCACAAGUAGAGUGAUCGAAAGAUGAAAAGUACUUUGGAAAGAGAGUCAAACAGCACGUGAAAUUGUUGAAAGGGAAGCGCUUGCAGCCAGACUUGUCCGCGGUUGUUCUCUUCCGUGGGCAGGCCAGCAUCAGUUUGGGCGAUCGGAUAAAGGCCCCUGUCACGUAUCACCCUUCGGGGUGACCUUAUAGGGGAGGUGUAAUGCGAUCAGCCUGGACUGAGGUCCGCGCAUCUGCUAGGAUGCUGGCGUAAUGGCUGUAAGCGGCCCGUCUUGAAACACGGACCAAGGAGUCUAACAUCUAUGCGAGUGUUUGGGUGUCAAGCCCGGGCGCGCAAUGAAAGUGAACGGAGGUGGGAACCCUCUCGGGGGUGCACCAUCGACCGAUCCUGAAGUCUUCGGAUGGAUUUGAGUAAGAGCAUAGCUGUUGGGACCCGAAAGAUGGUGAACUAUGCUUGAAUAGGGUGAAGCCAGAGGAAACUCUGGUGGAGGCUCGCAGCGGUUCUGACGUGCAAAUCGAUCGUCAAAUUUGGGCAUAGGGGGCGAAAGACUAAUCGAACUAUCUAGUAGCUGGUUCCUGCCGAAGUUUCCCUCAGGAUAGCAGUAACGUAUUCAGUUUUAUGAGGUAAAGCGAAUGAUUAGAGGCCUGGGGGUUGAAACAACCUUCACCUAUUCUCAAACUUUAAAUAUGUA